RNAcentral lists this long non-coding RNA (1287 nucleotides) under Mytilus galloprovincialis (Mediterranean mussel). Lineage: Eukaryota; Metazoa; Mollusca; Bivalvia; Mytilida; Mytilidae. The record is from RNAcentral.
GUUUUCUGUUUAGUAUUAAAUUUAUAUUAAGAUCCAUUUUGUUACAUCUUGUGAUCAAUUUUAUUUGGCAAUCGCCAAUGGCAGUCAGCAAGGUUAAAGAACAUCAGUUGUUCAACCUGUUAGUCAAAUGAGUUUUGAUUAAAUAUACAUAUAUACUAGAAAUGCCAAAAGACUGGAUUAGACAAUUAAUAUAAGGUUCUACAAUUGCAACUGUCCAUUAUAUAUGCCAUUGUACAACGAUGAAACCCCAAGCGCUAUAACAAUUUGCAAAAUUACUUCUUACAACAAAAUAAAAAAAUUAACAACUAGGUUCAUGCAAAAUAACAAAUCAACUUGUUCUUCUGUCAAUGUCUAACUACAAACGGUACAUGGCGUAUACAAUCAAGACGAGGAUUGAAGAUAAAUAUCUUUGACUGAUUUCAAUCAUGAAUCGUUAGUUUCUGUUAGACUCACGUCCUGUGGAAAUUUUGAAUUCUCAAUAAUUAUCCCCUAUUUCUCAGUUUCCCCCCAAAAAAAAUUUUCUCUAAAAUUCCCUGUUGAUAAGUUAAAAAAAACACUAACAAACCAAGAUUCCCGCAAAUUUCUAAGGCAAAUUUGACAUCAGCCGAAUUCGUCUUUUAUCAAAGUCCUUUUUCGUUAAAUAUACCCUUCUUUUUUACUACGUGUUUAUACACUCUCCUCCCGUUUCAAAUGUUUGGUGUUCCUGAUGGAGGUAUAUCAAGAAAGGGCGCUUUGAACGAUUCUGAUUAAUAAAUUCAUGUACUAUGCUUUAUUUUCUUUUUCUAAUCUUAUUUGCAUAACUGGUUUGAAAUAAUCGAUGAAAGUGGUCAAUUUACAAAUCUCAGUCCUGUGAUUUGUAUGUUUUAGUGAGUAUGCAAACAUCUAACAAUGAGGACUAUCCCGCCAAAAAUGGUUGGUGUACGACUGCUCCUUCAAACACUCUUAACAUCUUUUAUUGGUCUCACCUGUCCACUUCUUUUGGUACCAACAAAGGGCUUUCAAAGUUGUUAUUGUUUGUACUUUGGGUUGUAAUGAUACCCAAGAUCAAUAAUGACACGCGCCGCCGUUUGUGUUGUGUUCUGGCAGAUGGCUCCUUGAAUGUGUGCAAGAACCGUUACAAUACGGUCACCUAUCUUGCAGGUGCUUUAAAAGUCUACUCUUCGACAUGCGCGCAUCACUAAGUAUAGUUAUGUUUAUCAAUUUUUUCAUUGAUUCUCUUCUGAUGUUUAUAAAUUUCCAAUAUUUUGGUGAUUGAAAUAAAGAGUUGUUUAAAUACCUUUCUGUUUG